GGCUUGUGGCUCAGUGGUAGAACAUUUGCUUCACAUGUAUGAGGUGCUGGGUUCAAUCCUCAGCACCA
RNAcentral lists this transfer RNA (68 nucleotides) under Marmota monax (woodchuck). RNAcentral's name for it is "tRNA.Val". Lineage: Eukaryota; Metazoa; Chordata; Mammalia; Rodentia; Sciuridae. The record is from RNAcentral.